CAAUAGCGUAUAUUAAAGUUGUUGCAGUUAAAAAGCUCGUAGUUGGAUUUCGGGGCAGCCUGGCUGGUCCGCCGCAAGGCGAGUACUGGUCAGCCGCCCUUCCUCUCGAAAGCCCCGACUGCUCUUUACUGUAGUGGUCGGGUAGUUCGGGACGUUUACUUUGAAAAAAUUAGAGUGUUCAAGACAGGCCUACGCCUGAAUACAUUAGCAUGGAAUAAUGGAAGAGGACCUCGGUCCUAUUUUGUUGGUUUCCAGGGCCGAAGUAAUGAUUAAGAGGGACAGUUGGGGGCAUUCGUAUUUAAUUGUCAGAGGUGAAAUUCUCGGAUUUAUGAAAGACGAACAACUGCGAAAGCAUUUGCCAAGGAUGUUUUCAUUAA
RNAcentral lists this ribosomal RNA (377 nucleotides) under uncultured eukaryote. RNAcentral's name for it is "partial 18S ribosomal RNA". It matches the Rfam family "Eukaryotic small subunit ribosomal RNA", at positions 592 to 976 of the family's 1831-position model. The record is from RNAcentral.